This 563-nucleotide small RNA is filed under the name uncultured Fusobacterium sp. RNAcentral's name for it is "bacterial SSU rRNA". The stretch from base 1 to 341 matches the Rfam family "Bacterial small subunit ribosomal RNA", at positions 1194 to 1533 of the family's 1533-position model. Lineage: Bacteria; Fusobacteriati; Fusobacteriota; Fusobacteriia; Fusobacteriales; Fusobacteriaceae. The record is from RNAcentral.
CAUGCCCCUUAUACGCUGGGCUACACACGUGCUACAAUGGGUAGUACAGAGAGUCGCAAAGCCGCGAGGUGGAGCUAAUCUCAGAAAACUAUUCUUAGUUCGGAUUGUACUCUGCAACUCGAGUACAUGAAGUUGGAAUCGCUAGUAAUCGCGAAUCAGCAAUGUCGCGGUGAAUACGUUCUCGGGUCUUGUACACACCGCCCGUCACACCACGAGAGUUGGUUGCACCUGAAGUAGCAGGCCUAACCGUAAGGAGGGAUGCUCCGAGGGUGUGAUUAGCGAUUGGGGUGAAGUCGUAACAAGGUAUCCGUACGGGAACGUGCGGAUGGAUCACCUCCUUUCUAAGGAGUAUAUGUCUUUCUCUAUUCUAUUGGUAAUGUUCUUAGAACAUUGCACUGAACAUUGGAAACUAUAUAGUAGAACAAACAAGAAAACAAAAAUUAACUCUAACAAUUUCUUAGAGUUAGCUGUCAAAAAAAAUAGGUUAAAAUAAUUAAGGGCACACAAAGGAUGCCUAGGUAGUAAGAGCCGAUGAAGGACGUGGUAAGCUGCGAUAAGCCUAG